This 4505-nucleotide long non-coding RNA is filed under the name Cercocebus atys (sooty mangabey). RNAcentral's name for it is "lncRNA (ENSCATG00000045902.1)". Lineage: Eukaryota; Metazoa; Chordata; Mammalia; Primates; Cercopithecidae. The record is from RNAcentral.
AAUGGGACAACAGAAGAAGUGACUUCAAAAGAAGAGGAAGAAGAAGAGAUGGCUGAAGAUAUAGAAGAACUUAGAUCACUAUGAGAUGAAAGAAGAGCCUAUUAGUGGGAAAAAGUUGGAGGAUGAAGGAAUUGAAAAAGAAAAUUGGGCAAUAUUAGAGAAAAUUAGGAAGACUGAAAGGCAAGACCAUUUAAAUGUGCUGCAGUGUCUGGGUCAGUGCAAGCUUCAGAUAGACUUAUGGAAGAGCUCAGGGACAUAUACAGAUCACAGAGUUAUAAGACAGGUAAGGAUCUCUAAAUCCCUGCUCUUCUGAUUGUUCUUUUGUUCUUUUCUGUUGUCAGAUUAUAAAUGUCACUUCUUAAAACUGGACAGAAAUGGAAAUGUUUACUAAUUUUAUUUUCUGAAACUCAAACACAAUCAAGUUCCAAAAGAUGUAGGGGGUAAGAUAGGAUGAGUUUGCUUGUUUUUGGAUUUAAAGAAAUUGUUUUUAUAGGUCCAUUGGAAUAUUUUGUCAUCUUCCUGAUAGAGUGAACAUUUACAUGAUUUUUAUCUUCUGGCAAAAAGCUUGAGCAAUAUUGCUUGAUAAGUAAAUAAGUUUAAUACAUUUCAUUAUACAGGGAAUGAUUGCCAAGUUGAUUUUUAUUUUUUCCCCCAGUUUUGAAAGCAACAUAAUCAACUCUUAUUGUGGAGGUAGUUAUGUUAUUACUUUAAAAAUAUAUAGCUGGAGUACACCUGUAGUCCCAGCUACCAGGGGUGGUGGGAGGCUGAGGCAGGAAGAUCUUUUGAGCUUGGAGAAGUCAAGGCUGCAAUGAGCUGUGAUUGCACCAUUAUAUUCCAGCCUGGGUGACAGAGUGAGACACCCUGUCUCAUAAAACAAAAAAAAAGAGGGAGUGGGGGGUGGGAUACAUAUUGGAUAUGUAUAUAUAGGACAGUUGUGGAAAAAUACUGAUUUUUUAGUGAUUUAACUUUUGACAGUUCUGUCCAUGGCAAAUUUUUCUACUUGAACACCUUGGCUAAUAAUACAAGUUUAAGAAAGCAUAUUAAACUUUUUUUUUGAAUCCUUGAGAAAAUUAUAUACAUGUGACUAUUUUCCUUUAGAAUGACUACAAACUCUGAACCCUCUUAUUAGAUUAGAUUUAGGCUAUUAUGAUCUCUUUGGGACAUUUAUUCUAAAGGAGCUGGAAGCUAUAGUGGCCUCUAUUUUUCCCAGGGAUAUAGAGAAGCUUAAGAUCUCCUCUUUCUGGAACUUACCCUGGGUGCUCAAUUUUAACUUUCUGAUUGGUUCAUUUUUGAGUUAGUAAAAAUAAUAAUAAUAAUAUUUUUGUUUGAAUUGCAAACAAAUUGUCUUUGCACAGUGAUCUUCAGAUCUUAGAAGAAAAACAAGGGAUAGAAGACAUUUUGCUUAUCUUUUAACGUAAGAAAAUUGUUAUGAGACUCUAUAUCCUUCUAAUGGGUGUAUAUUUGUACAAGUGUUUGGAAAACAGUUUGGUAAAGUGGAAGAUACUCAUACCCUAUGGUUCAGGAAUCUUGUGGAUAUAUACUCCACAAGAACGAGUACGUAGGUGCCAGGAGACACAGGAAUGUUCAGAGCAGCAUUGUUUGUAAUAGCCACAAACAGAAAAUAACCCAAAUGUUCAUUCCAGUAAAAUGGAGAAUUGUAGUAUUCAUAAAAUGGCUUACAGCUAUGUGGGACAAGAUGGGCGAAUCUUGAACACUAUGUUAAGCAAAAGAGACCAGACCCCCAAAACCUAAUUUGUACAAUUCCCUCUAUAUAGAGUUCAAAAAUAGGCAAAACUCAUGUUGGUUAGGGCACACAUUCUUAGUGGAGGCAAUAUCGCCUGCAGUGGAGUAAAAACUGGUUCCUUAGAGUGAAAGAAAAUCUUACCUAUUAUCAUGGUCUGCUGCCCUCCAAAGGGCCAUAGAACAUAAAUGAAAAGAAACCUGAGAAACACUUAUUUAUGGAUUCAUACUUGGGCAGUAAAACUAUCAAGAAAAAAGAGGUGAUUACACACAGGGUAGGUUAAGGAGUCCAUCUAGGUGGGAGGUAGGGAGGUGUGAACUGAAAGAUACGUCUAUGGGCUUCUUGGAUCCUGGCUCUAAUAUCUUUCUGGAGCAGGCUGGUGGUUACAUGGGCACAUAAUUUAGAGUAACUUGUUAAGGUCUACCUUAAGGUAUAUUUUGUGUACUUUUCUGAAUGUGUUAUAUUUAAUAAAGUAUUUUUAAGAUACCUAAAAUAAAGGUUACAAAAGAAUAACAAUGGAAUCUAGAAAAAAUGUUAAUGAUCUAAUAUGGAAUCUAGAUAAGAUGUAAUGGUUUAAAAUCUAUGGCUGUAUGAGGUAUUUUGAUGAAAAAAACAAAGACAUAAAAGAAUACUUUGUUGUACUUACUCUAAGGAUGGUAGUAGUUUUCUAAAAGCUUCUUACUUAGCUUUUCUGUGUGUAUAUUUUUGCUUGGGGAUAUAUCUUAUGAUUGAACUUUCUAGAAAUGAUCCUAAUGUCAGUAUUUUCUCUGACUUUUGUUAUCGUAGAAACUGUUGUGGUUGUCAACUGGAUUGUCUUCCUAAAGUAUAAAUCUAGUAUAUAUUGACUGAAGUUGCUAAUGGUUACUUCUUUACGGAUUCAUAUGGGUGAACAAAUGAAGCAUGCAGGCCUACAACAAAAACCAAAACACCACAAAAAACAAGAAGAUACCAUUUUUUAAAAAAAAAACCAUUAAAUCAUAUGAAUAUAUACCCAAUGCCAAACUUAAGAAAUAGAACCUUUGGUUGGGCAUGGUGGCUCAUCCCUGUAAUCCCAGCAUUUUGUGACACUGAGGCAGGUGGAUCACCUGAGGAUAGGAGUUUGAGACCAGUCUGGCCAACAUGGUGAAACCCUGUCUCUACUAAAAAUACAAAAAUUAGCUGGGCGUGGUGGCAGGUGCCUGUAGUCCCAGCUACUUGGGAGGCUGAUGUGGGAGAAUCACUUGAAACCAGGAGGUAGAGGUUACAGUCAGCCAAGAUCAUGCCAUUGCACUCCAGCCUGGGUGACAAGAGUGAAACUCCAUCUCAAAAACAAAAUAAAACAGAAAUAGAACCUUAUCAGUACCUGUAGCACCCUGUGUUCCCCUCCCUUGUCAUGUCCUCUUUGGGAGGUAUCUUGAAGGGAAUAUGAAAUCUUGGUCAGGAAACUGGAGGAUUCGUGACUGCAGGUGGUGUUUUCAUUAUUUUUUCCUGCUCUAGUUAGGACUUUAGGGAGGGGAUGAUCUGGGAGGUAAAUGACUGAAAUGCUAUUGGAUUUGUGUUUGUGGCCCAUGGCUGAUACCAGAAAGAAGGGCCUUUUCUAGGGUUGGAGUAUUUUUUAAAAGACCUGGGAAGAAUGUGAUUGCCUUGAGCUAAUUGACCUUCUGAAGAGGACCUUAAACUGAAUGGCCAAGUUAUUAGUAACAGGAUUCACAGACUUUGGAGAAUAGCAGGUAUGACUCGGAAAGAUUUACAGGAAAGAGCCAGAACAAUAUAUAUUUAUGGACUCUGAUGUCCACAGUGACAACUUGAGAGUCAUGAAUAAUAAGCAGAAUGGAACUUGAGAUAAAGCAUAACACAAAGAUGGGAGUGAGGGCAGGAGGGAAUGCAACCUGGUCAGCAACUUGACAAAUCCAACUUGCUGUACUUUUAAGGAAGUCAUUUUCUGAUGUUACAGGCAACAUCAGAAUUACUGAAUUGAAUUAUGAGGUGGUACUUUAAGAAGGAUCUACUUAGACAAGGAUAGGUUCAUUUAGAGAAUAAUAGCCAGGAUUGGGAAGAGAUUCUUUUCCAUGUCCUAGGAUAGCUGAUGAAAUUGUGGAUUUGGAGAGGAAAGCAUGGGGGUUCAGGUUCAUGAUAGCUUGUCUUUAGCUAUUUGAAAAAGUAUGUAUAUGGAAGCAUUAGUUUUUAUUUUUAUUUGUUUUUGGUAAAGACAGGGCAUAAAACUAGAACUAAUAAGUCAAAUUACAAAGGGGUGAUUUUCAACUCAAUGUAAGGAAGUGACUUGUAACUAUUUAGACCCAUCUGGUGAUGUAGUCUUUGACAAAUAGAACGUUCUUCAUCCUUAAGAAUAACUUAGAAGGCUGAGAUGUUAAAUGGGAAAUCAGAUAACUUCAUGAGAUCCUUGUAGAGCCUGAGAGUCUGGUUCAGAGUUAACAUAUACUAAGGUAACUCAAACUUCAUUUUACCAGUCACCCUCAACCUUUAUUUUCCCCUCCCUGAAGAACGCUUUUUAUUUCUGUAAAAUCUUGAUUCCUGAGUUCCAGGGUACAGAGUUUGUGGAAUAGAGUCCCCAAGGUUUGAUGUAGAGGAUCCUCUUUCUCCUGUCUGAAAAUAUCCUUUAGUAUUUCCUUUAGUGUGAGUCUGUAGAUGGAGAAAAUCCUUACUUUUUAUUUCAUUAUUGAAGAAUAUAUUCAUUGAGUGUAAGUUUCUAGAUUGGCAGUUUCCUUCUUUCAGCACCUUGAAGAUAUCAUUCUUUUAUGCUAGCUUCCAUUGUUUCUCUUGAAGC